Molecule: ribosomal RNA, 506 nt
Filed under: uncultured bacterium
Lineage: Bacteria
Description: partial 16S ribosomal RNA
Rfam family: Bacterial small subunit ribosomal RNA
Source: RNAcentral
AUUGAACGCUGGCGGCAGGCCUAACACAUGCAAGUCGAACGGCAGCGGGGGAUAGCUUGCUAUCCUGCCGGCGAGUGGCGGACGGGUGAGUAAUGCAUGGGGAGCUGCCCAGUCGAGGGGGAUAACAACUGGAAACGGUUGCUAAUACCGCAUACGCCCUAAGGGGGAAAGGUGGGGAACUUCGGUCCUACCGCGAUUGGAUGCGCCCAUGUGGGAUUAGCUAGUUGGUGAGGUAACGGCUCACCAAGGCGACGAUCUCUAGCUGGUCUGAGAGGAUGACCAGCCACACGGGAACUGAGACACGGUCCAGACUCCUACGGGAGGCAGCAGUGGGGAAUAUUGCACAAUGGGGGAAACCCUGAUGCAGCCAUGCCGCGUGUGUGAAGAAGGCCUUCGGGUUGUAAAGCACUUUCAGUCAGGAGGAAGGGGUGAUGGCUAAUAUCCAUCAUCAUUGACGUUACUGACAGAAGAAGCACCGGCUAACUCCGUGCCAGCCGCCGCCGUAA